RNAcentral lists this transfer RNA (77 nucleotides) under Silvanigrella paludirubra. RNAcentral's name for it is "Silvanigrella sp. SP-Ram-0.45-NSY-1 tRNA-Arg". It matches the Rfam family "tRNA". Rfam says of the family: Transfer RNA (tRNA) molecules are approximately 80 nucleotides in length. Their secondary structure includes four short double-helical elements and three loops (D, anti-codon, and T loops). Lineage: Bacteria; Pseudomonadati; Bdellovibrionota; Oligoflexia; Silvanigrellales; Silvanigrellaceae. The record is from RNAcentral. RNAcentral also lists the same sequence under 1 other name.
GUCGCCAUAGCUCAGUUGUAUAGAGCACUUCUUUCCUAAAGAAGGGGUCGUAGGUUAGAGUCCUACUGGUGACGCCA